Non-coding RNA from Arachis ipaensis, 936 nucleotides. NCBI's taxonomy places the organism in Eukaryota, Viridiplantae, Streptophyta, Magnoliopsida, Fabales, Fabaceae. The record is from RefSeq and is a predicted model, not a curated record.
GUGGCCUUCGAAAUGUCUCUCAAACUUCAUUUUUUCCUUCUUUCACAAAACUCCUUCAAACAUUGUGCCUCACCCUAAGUCAUUCAGCUAACCCUAAGCCCUCUCUUCAUUGUGGCUCACCCUAACCCUCUCUUCAUUGUGCCUCACCCUCACCCUAAGCAGGACACCCUCACGCUCACCGUGACCCUCACCACUCCGCGAAGAACGUUGCUGCGCUCGCAAUGACUCCGUCGACAAUCUCUCUUCCGGCACCCCUAACCCUCCGCUCUGGCGGUGACUCUCUUUGGCGGUGACUCCCUCCGCUCACUUGCGGUCACAAAUUGUCUAUCCAAUGCUCCCUCCACUGCCUCCUCGAAGCCCUAACCUCCUCUCACCAUCUCCGUCGCUACCUCACCACCGCUAACCUCGAAUGUUCUCUCUUCUCCACCGACCAAUGUUUUGCCUCGGGUCACCAGCUCGCAAAGCAAGGAUUAGAGGAAGAUGUUGUCGUCGCCGAUGAGGUAGCUGAUGUUGUCACGCCGUCCAAGUCCACUGUUUGGGGACCAGGAUACGCUUAUGUUGCUGUUCCUGGAGGAAGAAUGUGCUACCUGUCAGAACUUUUUCAAUUUUAAUUCUGGACACUUGCCUAAGAAUAUCCCAUAGAGGUCGCGUUUUAAAGCUGGAAGUAUUGGACACUAUACCAGCAGGAAUGACGCGGCACAAAAUAUUAUACAACUCGAGUGAGCUGAAAAGACCAAUGUAUUAUUAGGAGCGAGAUAUUAAAGGUGUAAAUAUGGAAACGUUAAGCACUUACCCAAAUUCAUAUUAAGAAAAGAGAAUAGGCGAUUGUUUUAGUCAUAAUUAUGCAAAUGGAGAGAAUUAUGAUUUUUUAUUUGUCUUGUUUUAUAUUUAUUGAGUGACUAUAAUUGUGGAUACGAUGUGUCUUUUUUUUUUUGU